CGCGAAGAACCUUACCCGGACUUGACAUGCAGGUGGUACUGAGGCGAAAGCCAAGGACCGCAAGGGAGGCAGCCGACCACGGUAGGGUCAGCGACUGGGGUG
Molecule: ribosomal RNA, 102 nt
Filed under: uncultured bacterium
Lineage: Bacteria
Description: partial 16S ribosomal RNA
Source: RNAcentral